This 503-nucleotide long non-coding RNA is filed under the name Solanum lycopersicum (tomato). RNAcentral's name for it is "long non-coding RNA (SLYC_LNC001000)". Lineage: Eukaryota; Viridiplantae; Streptophyta; Magnoliopsida; Solanales; Solanaceae. The record is from RNAcentral.
UCACAAAAAUGUUUAUCAUUCCAAUCAAGCCUACACACAACAUUUUCAAGCAAGAAUAUUCUACAGGCAGAAUCUAAAGCAUACUGAUGCCAAAAGAACACGGGACUGACAACUAGAGCAACUAACAGAAGUGACCAGAAGUCCAAGAUCAACCGAAUCUGAGAGCACCACAGAGCACCAACCACCAAUAACAAUAAUCACCUGAAAAUGGAGAGGAAGAAAUUUACCUCAGUAAUAUGAAUGCAUCCCCUGGUACAUACCCCCAGGUGCAACUCUAGGUGCAGCUGAUGCCCCAGGGCCUUGGUUUUGUAGCCCGUGAGGUUGAUGUAAAGGACCGUAAUGAGAACCCUGUGGUGGAUAAUCUCCCGAGGGCAUCCCGGCUGAGCUUGGGGGUAACCCAUACAUUGAAGAUCCACGGCCAGCACCACCUAAUGUACUACCAGCGCCAGGUAAUCCACCAGCAGCACCUCCCACUGCCCCAGCACCGCCAUAACCACUACCGG